Molecule: ribosomal RNA, 487 nt
Filed under: uncultured bacterium
Lineage: Bacteria
Description: partial 16S ribosomal RNA
Rfam family: Bacterial small subunit ribosomal RNA
Source: RNAcentral
GAUGAACGCUAGCGAUAGGCUUAACACAUGCAAGUCGAGGGGCAGCACAAGGUAGCUUGCUAUCUGGGUGGCGACCGGCGCACGGGUGCGUAACGCGUAUGCAACUUGCCCUAUACAGGAGGAUAACCCGUCGAAAGACGGACUAAUACUGCGUAUGCUCACAACUUGGCAUCAAGUGGUGAGGAAAGAAAUUCGGUAUAGGAUAGGCAUGCGUCCCAUUAGCUUGUUGGUGAGGUAACGGCUCACCAAGGCAACGAUGGGUAGGGGAACUGAGAGGUUUAUCCCCCACACUGGUACUGAGACACGGACCAGACUCCUACGGGAGGCAGCAGUGAGGAAUACUGGUCAAUGGGCGCGAGCCUGAACCAGCCAAGUCGCGUGAAGGAUGACUGUCUUAUGGAUUGUAAACUUCUUUUAUACGGGAAUAACAAGAGUCACGUGUGACUCCCUGCAUGUACCGUAUGAAUAAGCAUCGGCUAACUCCGUG